This 521-nucleotide ribosomal RNA is filed under the name uncultured bacterium. Its description in RNAcentral is "bacterial SSU rRNA". It matches the Rfam family "Bacterial small subunit ribosomal RNA", at positions 26 to 518 of the family's 1533-position model. The record is from RNAcentral.
UAGGACGAACGCUGGCGGCGUGCCUAAUACAUGCAAGUCGAACGGUCUUUCUAUGGAAGCUUGCUUCCACUGAGAAGAUAGUGGCGAACGGGUGAGUAACACGUGGGUAACCUGCCCAUAAGAGGGGGGAUAACAUCCGGAAACGGGUGCUAAUACCGCAUAGUUUUCUUGAUCGCAUGAUCGGGAAAGGAAAGACGGCCUUUGUGCUGUCGCUUAUGGAUGGACCCGCGGCGUAUUAGUUAGUUGGUGAGGUAACGGCUCACCAAGACGAUGAUACGUAGCCGACCUGAGAGGGUGAUCGGCCACAUUGGGACUGAGACACGGCCCAAACUCCUACGGGAGGCAGCAGUAGGGAAUCUUCCGCAAUGGACGAAAGUCUGACGGAGCAACGCCGCGUGAGUGAAAGAAGGUUUUCGGAUCGUAAAACUCUGUUGUCAGAGAAGAACAAGUUGGAGAGUAACUGCUCCAGCCUUGACGGUAUCUGACCAGAAAGCCACGGCUAACUACGUGCCAGCCGCCGC